AGAUCACAGAGAGGGGGUCCUGAUAACCCCUUACCAUCUGCUGCCCAUCCAUCACCCUUUCUCUUUGCCUUUGGUCUCACGCGGCUUAUAGAACCUGCUUAGACUGCUAAGGCAAGGCCCUCUCGGCCGCUCCACUAACUUUUCUUCUGGAAUGCUUAGCUCAGAGAAGACAGCUAAGCCCCUGAAAGUCACAGAGGAAGUUGAUGAGAAAAGAAAACUGCGAAGCCCAAGCCCCACCAGGACUUAAGUACCCUGGGAAAGCCUCAGGACAACUUGGGGGAAAGACACUCCUGUCCCCCAUGGUGUCCUCCUGUCCAGGACUGGGGGCCGCCG
RNAcentral lists this long non-coding RNA (333 nucleotides) under Homo sapiens (human). RNAcentral's name for it is "HSALNT0165509". The record is from RNAcentral. Lineage: Eukaryota; Metazoa; Chordata; Mammalia; Primates; Hominidae.